UUUCCGUUAGAUCACCGAAGUCAAGCAUCAUUGAGCGCGGUCAGUACUUGGGUGGGUGACCACCUGGGAACACCGCGUGCCGUU
This 84-nucleotide ribosomal RNA is filed under the name Caerostris darwini. Lineage: Eukaryota; Metazoa; Arthropoda; Arachnida; Araneae; Araneidae. The record is from RNAcentral.